GAGGGUGUAGCUCAGUGGUAGAGCAUGUGCUUAGCAUGCAUGAGGCCCUUGGUUCAGCCUCA
This 62-nucleotide transfer RNA is filed under the name Heterocephalus glaber (naked mole-rat). It matches the Rfam family "tRNA". Rfam says of the family: Transfer RNA (tRNA) molecules are approximately 80 nucleotides in length. Their secondary structure includes four short double-helical elements and three loops (D, anti-codon, and T loops). The record is from Rfam by way of RNAcentral. Lineage: Eukaryota; Metazoa; Chordata; Mammalia; Rodentia; Bathyergidae.